RNAcentral lists this transfer RNA (76 nucleotides) under Clostridium perfringens. RNAcentral's name for it is "tRNA-Asn". It matches the Rfam family "tRNA". From Rfam's summary of the family: Transfer RNA (tRNA) molecules are approximately 80 nucleotides in length. Their secondary structure includes four short double-helical elements and three loops (D, anti-codon, and T loops). Lineage: Bacteria; Bacillati; Bacillota; Clostridia; Eubacteriales; Clostridiaceae. The record is from RNAcentral.
GGAUAUAUAGCUCAGUUGGUAGAGCAGUAGACUGUUAAUCUAUUUGUCGAGAGUUGAAGUCUCUCUAUCUCCGCCA